RNAcentral lists this ribosomal RNA (239 nucleotides) under bacterium. RNAcentral's name for it is "partial 16S ribosomal RNA". It matches the Rfam family "Bacterial small subunit ribosomal RNA", at positions 553 to 791 of the family's 1533-position model. The record is from RNAcentral.
ACUGGGCGUAAAGCGUGCGUAGGUGGUCGUUUAAGUCUGUUGUGAAAGCCCUGGGCUCAACCUGGGAACUGCAGUGGAAACUGGACGACUAGAGUGUGGUAGAGGGUAGCGGAAUUCCUGGUGUAGCAGUGAAAUGCGUAGAGAUCAGGAGGAACAUCCAUGGCGAAGGCAGCUACCUGGACCAACACUGACACUGAGGCACGAAAGCGUGGGGAGCAAACAGGAUUAGAUACCCCGGU